UCGUGUUUCAGUUCUGACGGACAGCCGGCCGGACCAAUAGGAGGCGGUCCUGCCCGCGGUGGGCGGGGCCUGCAGCAGUGCCCUGUCUCGCGCUCAGUCCGGAGGCGAACUCCGCGUCCGCUGCGAAAGUCUCUUUAAAUGUUCUUCUCGAGGUUAUUUUUCGCACUUUACGGUCCGCCGCAGCGACGAGUGGAAUAUAAACGACACUGACCGGAAGAAGCACGCGCUGCUGGGAUUAGAGCGCUUUUAUUGGAACGAUAAGGGACGCGCAUAACGCAGGAUUGUGUUUCAGUCCGAUUUGAAUUCUUUUGUAUCUGUAUGAUCCGGAUCGGAUUCAGUCUGGACUGAAGAUUUAGACUGCUGAAGUUUUAUCUGAAUUCAUUUGCAUCUGGAGCGCAGAGUUUAACGUUAGUAAAGAAAGAAAAGUUCUCCACGAGUGGGAUUUUUGGAGUUUUUGCAUAAUUAAUAAUUAAUAAUACUAAUAUUCGGUGUUGAUGAGGUUUGAGUCUGGAUCUGAAUCUAAUGAUCUGACAGCAGAUCCAGCAGCACUCGGACAUGGGUCGUGUUUGCUGGAUUAUCCCUGUGUUCUGGUUCUGGACUGGGUUCUGCUCAGGAGAGGAAGAGGUGCUGAUGAACACAAAGCUAGAAACAUCUGAUCUAAGAUGGACCAUCUACCCCAGCAGUGACCCUGAGUGGGAGGAGAUGAGCGGUUUGGAUGAGGAGGGAAACAGCGUCCGCACCUUUCAGAUCUGUCACCGGGGGUAGACACGUCU
Molecule: long non-coding RNA, 773 nt
Organism: Cyprinus carpio (common carp)
Lineage: Eukaryota; Metazoa; Chordata; Actinopteri; Cypriniformes; Cyprinidae
Exons: 3
Source: RefSeq, a predicted model, not a curated record